This 567-nucleotide ribosomal RNA is filed under the name uncultured bacterium. RNAcentral describes it as "bacterial SSU rRNA". It matches the Rfam family "Bacterial small subunit ribosomal RNA", at positions 984 to 1533 of the family's 1533-position model. The record is from RNAcentral.
ACAUGUCUCGUAUGGUUUCCAGAGAUGGAUUCCUUCAGUUCGGCUGGCGAGAACACAGGUGUUGCAUGGCUGUCGUCAGCUCGUGUCGUGAGAUGUUGGGUUAAGUCCCGCAACGAGCGCAACCCUCGCCUUUAGUUGCCAUCAUUUAGUUGGGCACUCUAGAGGGACUGCCGGUGAUAAGCCGGAGGAAGGUGGGGAUGACGUCAAGUCCUCAUGGCCCUUACGGGUUGGGCUACACACGUGCUACAAUGGCGGCGACAAUGGGCAGCGAAGGGGCGACCCGGUGCAAAUCCCAAAAAGCCGUCUCAGUUCGGAUUGUACUCUGCAACUCGAGUGCAUGAAGGUGGAAUCGCUAGUAAUCGCGUAACAGCAUGACGCGGUGAAUACGUUCCCGGGCCUUGUACACACCGCCCGUCACACCAUGGGAGUUGGUUUUACCCGAAGCUGGUGCGCUAACCGCAAGGAGGCAGCCAACCACGGUAAGGUCAGCGACUGGGGUGAAGUUGUAACAAGGUAGCCCUAGGGGAACCUGGGGCUGAUCACCUCCUUAAGCUUGGAUUCCCGGGC